This 232-nucleotide long non-coding RNA is filed under the name Capsicum annuum. RNAcentral's name for it is "long non-coding RNA (CANN_LNC010351)". Lineage: Eukaryota; Viridiplantae; Streptophyta; Magnoliopsida; Solanales; Solanaceae. The record is from RNAcentral.
CCAGGUCAUGCAGCUCAUGACUUAUGCACUUAUGUCCUAUCUUACAGUAUGUUCAGCCCAUAUGACUCAUGCUUCACUCCCAGUGAUCAACCAAACUCAAAUUAUGUCCCUUAUACUCUCAAUUUAGAUACCUCAGUGAAUUCGUGAUAUUGAUGUUCCAUCCCUAAGUUCUCAAUUACAGCAUCAUUCAACAUUUAGCAUCCAGUAAAGGAUUCAGAUAGUCCUACAGAAC